AUGAAGUGCUGCAAGCACGUUCAGGUCAUUAGUGACCGACCCGAUUACUGCAGCCUUUGAUCAUGUCUAAAGUCCCCCCCCCCACUGAAUCUUACAAACUUCAGUUCAAGUUGUUAAGUGUAUGAAACAUUUUAUUUGUUCAUGAUCAGCAGGAAGCAGCAGCACCUCUGCAGGAGCCUCACCAGAAACCUCUUCAGAAGCCCUUGUGGACCUGGCCUUUGCCGUGGUGUGGGAAUAUUGGCUCGUAGGCCUUAGCUGGUUCUGUUGGGAUGUAGAUGAACUGGUGGAACCUCAAGUUACUCUUCCUGUACUGGGAGCGAGAUUUGUGAGCGUAGACUUGAUCCUCGGCAGACACGGGAGUGAUGUCGGGCUCCUGGUCGCCACCAUCAGAUGAACUCCAGCCCCCCUGUGCAGACUGAUG
Long non-coding RNA from Melanotaenia boesemani (Boeseman's rainbowfish), 421 nucleotides. RefSeq lists it as uncharacterized. The record is from RefSeq and is a predicted model, not a curated record. Lineage: Eukaryota; Metazoa; Chordata; Actinopteri; Atheriniformes; Melanotaeniidae. The transcript is spliced from 2 exons.